This is a long non-coding RNA of Brassica napus (rape), 2488 nucleotides long. RefSeq lists it as uncharacterized. The transcript has 4 exons. The record is from RefSeq and is a predicted model, not a curated record. NCBI's taxonomy places the organism in Eukaryota, Viridiplantae, Streptophyta, Magnoliopsida, Brassicales, Brassicaceae.
GUUUUGAUACAAAUUUGAGCCCAAUAAUUAUUGCCCCAUCUUGCAUUGGUUUCUUCUCCUCUUCAUUGGUUUCUGUGAUUCACUUCUUUUUUUUUUGUCAACAUUCUGUGAUUCACUUCAUUUUCCCUAAAUCGGUGCUCAGUUUUAAUUCAAUUCUCAUUCAAUAGAUUUUUUGCUUUCUUCAAUUCUCUGAAUCUGUAGAUAUAAAUAGAUGUAUUUGCAUCUGUAGAAUUUAUCAUUCCAUUUUUCAUAAUCAUAUUAAUACUGAAACUUCUGCAGAUUAAGAUGGCAAGCUCCUCUGUGCUCCUCAUAUAUUGGGUAUAGAUUCUGGUUCGAUUCAGCCGUUUGUGAGACUGUCGUUAGAGAAAACCCAGUCGUCAAGGCGACAAACGUCAAACGCGGUGGCGAUUUGAUGGAGUUUGAGAAGCUUUUUCUAUGGGACAAAGGAUAACCUUUAGUGGGCAAAUUCUUAACUAUGAGAACACAGUGGCACAAGUGGUGGAACUCCUUGGAGAUGAGAAUACUGCAGCUGAUUUACGAUGUUGGUUUGGGAAACAAUAGCUAUCUUAAUAAUUAUUUCAUGUAAGUUUUCUAAACCCGUUUUAGUUUGUUUCAGCAAUAUAUUUGAAUGAACACUAUAUGAACAUGGUUUGUUCCAAAUCAAUAUUAAGUUUAAAGCUUAAAGCUUCCUGAACAUAAUAUUCAAGUGUCAUAAAGUAAUUUACCUAGGAUUUCAUGCCGGUUAUAAAGUCUACAUAUUAGCUAUGUUUGAGAGAAUCGGGACUUUUGGAAAAGCGAAUUCGAGAUUUAGAGAUAUGAGGUUUAGCAAGCGUCUGUAACAGACUUGGUUGCAUUGAGACUAACAAGAAAGUGAAAAGCUUCUGGCUUGGUCUCAACGAGUUUGCAGAUUUGAGCCACGAAGAAUUCAAGAACGAGUAUUUGGGGCUCAAGACUGAUAUAGAAAGAGGCGAUGAUGAAAGAUCCUAUCAAGAGUUCGCUUAUAAGGACGUUGACGUCGAAACUUUGCCUAAAUCUGUUGACUGAAGAAAGAAAAGAAUCAAGGCUCUUGCGGUCUUGGUUUUAAAUAGCGUGUUGCGAUCAAAUGCGAUGAGGUGCUCGACUCUCGCCAAGCGCCAUGGCGAGGCAAGUCGAUCGCCAUGUGUAACACACAUGCAAAACCGUAAUUAUCUAUUUCUAACUUGUACCUUAUGUUAAGCCAUUGAUAAAAACAGUAAGAGAAAACUAAAAUACCAAUUCCAUUGAUAGCUUAAAAGCUUAAAGCCAAAACACCAAUUCAAAAGUACUAAAAUUUAAAAGAUCAAGAACUAGAAAUCCUAAAAACUCUAAAAUUUGGGUUCAGAGUUUUGCUUGAUAAGAAAAUAUAGUAUAUGAGAACAGAGAACUAAUAGUAAAAGGAAAGAAGAUCUAAGCUGAGUGAAUAGAAUGAAGAACAUAGAGAAAGAAAGAGCUGAUGAAGAACAUAGGUAAUAUAGUAGAGUGGAUUAGGUUUGUCGAUACAUUUCAUUAGAAGGUAGAGCUUAUGUAUUAAACCGAAGUUGGUUUAGUAACCAAAAUAUGUAGAAACCAAGUUGGUUUGAGAAGAAUUAGUGAGGCGUCGCUAGAAGCGCCUUAUAAAUAAUACUAAAGAGCUCAAUAGCGAGCGCCAUGUGUGCCUCGCCUGGCUUUCAGGUGUUAAUGCGAUGAGUACACCGCUACACCUCGCCAAGCGCCAUGGCGAGGGAGGCGUUCGCUUUUUAAAACCAAGCUUGCGGAAGUUAUAAACAAAAUUGUGACAGAAAACUUGUGGAAGGUAUAAAUAAAAUUGUGACAGGAAACUUGACAAUAUUGUCUGAACAAGAACUCAUAGACUGUGAGUCUGUGAGUCUGUGACACAACUUACAACAAUGGUUGCACCAGAAAACAAAAACGGCGAUUCCAACAACAAGAAAUGUUGUCUCAUGGAUUAUGCUUUUGAGUACAUUUUCAAGAACGGAGGUGUUCGCAAGGAAGAGGAUUAUCCUUACUCUAUGGAAGAUGAAUCUGAAAUGGUGACUAUCAGUGGGCAACAAGAUGUACCGAGAAAUGAUGAGAAAAGUCUCUUGAAGGCGUUGGCUCAUCACCUCUCAGUUUCGCUAUUGAUUCUUUUGGUAUAGAGUUCCAGUUCAUAGCGGUGAAAGAUGUUGGAAAUAUUGUGUUUUGGUAUAUGAAGGGUGUCUUUGAUGGGAGAUGCAGUGUCAAUUUGGACCAUGGUAUUGCUGCAGUUGUGUAUGGAUCAAGCAAGGGUUCAGAUCAUUGUUAAUUGUUUUGGUUGCAUCAGGACGAAGAGGAACACUUAUAAACUAGAGGCUCUCUGUGGAAUCAAUAAGAUGGCUUCUUUCCUCCACUAAAACAAAGUGAUAAUAUCAUUUUAUGUUAUCUGCAUUUCAUCACUAUCUUCGUAACAACAUAAAAUUGUUAUUUUAAUGAAUAGAAAUGUUGUAACAACUUU